This 485-nucleotide ribosomal RNA is filed under the name uncultured bacterium. RNAcentral describes it as "bacterial SSU rRNA". It matches the Rfam family "Bacterial small subunit ribosomal RNA", at positions 29 to 508 of the family's 1533-position model. The record is from RNAcentral.
AUUGAACGCUGGCGGCAUGCCUUACACAUGCAAGUCGAGCGGCAGCGCGGGGGCAACCCUGGCGGCGAGCGGCGCACGGGUGAGUAAUGCAUCGGAACGUGUCCUCUUGUGGGGGAUAACCAGUCGAAAGACUGGCUAAUACCGCAUGAGCACGAGAGUGGAAAGCGGGGGACCGUAAGGCCUCGCGCGAGAGGAGCGGCCGAUGCCGGAUUAGCUAGUUGGUGGGGUAACGGCCUACCAAGGCGACGAUCCGUAGCUGGUUUGAGAGAACGACCAGCCACACUGGGACUGAGACACGGCCCAGACUCCUACGGGAGGCAGCAGUGGGGAAUUUUGGACAAUGGGGGCAACCCUGAUCCAGCCAUGCCGCGUGAGUGAAGAAGGCCUUCGGGUUGUAAAGCUCUUUCGGCCGGAACGAAAUCGCGCGCAUGAAUAAUGCGCGUGGAUGACGGUACCGGAAGAAGAAGCACCGGCUAACUACGUGC